This is a long non-coding RNA of Sorghum bicolor (sorghum), 977 nucleotides long. RefSeq lists it as uncharacterized. Lineage: Eukaryota; Viridiplantae; Streptophyta; Magnoliopsida; Poales; Poaceae. The record is from RefSeq and is a predicted model, not a curated record. The transcript has 4 exons.
GCCGCUAGCCCGCACCCGCUCGCCAGGCCGCCUCGCCCGCGCCCUCGCCGGAGCUGCGCCCGCCGCCGACCACCUGAGCCGACCGCUGGAGCCGCGACCACCGAAGCCUCGACCCUCGCCCACCCCCGCCGGAGCCGCACCCGCCCCUGACCGCUGGAGCCACGACCGCCGGAGCUGCGACCGCCAGAGCUGCGACUGCCAGAGCUGCGACCGCCGGAGCCGCGCCCGCCCCUGACCGCCGGAGCCGCGCCCGCCCAGCUCGGCCCUCCCCGUCGGCCACAUCUUCGAUUGCAACUGGCCAAUCUACUCGGCAUCCGUACAUCUCUUGGCCUCCAUUGAAUAUUUCAUCAGUUCACUGAUGAUUGGAGAAGGUGCAUUUGGAUGUGUAUACAGAGGUGUCCUCAGAAACGUGACAGUUGAGUCACACAAAAAAAAACAUGACAGUUGCAAUAAAGGUGUUGAAACCUGAUACUUUGCAGGGAAGAUCACAGUUCGAGCAAGAGGUUGCUAUCCUGAGUAGGGUGAGGCACCCUCACCUUGUAACUCUAUUCGGAGCUCAGAAUCAUCUGCACUUGUCUAUGAGUUCUUGCCAAAUGGAAGUCUUGAAGAUUUUCUCGUCUGUGCAGAUAAAAGGAUGUCAUGAGUGAUCCACAUAUAUUGUGGCUGACGGAUUCACCUAUGAAGGCGAAGCCAUCAGGAUGUGACUCAACAGUAGCCAUGACACAUCUCCAAUGACCAACAUGCGACUAGAACACGACGAGCUCAUUCCCAAUUGCGCUCUUCGUUCCACCAUCCAGGAAUGUAAUCAGUCUCGUUGGCCGUGAUGAUACUUGUGUUUGUUAACGGUCUUCUAUUUGCACUUGUGGUUGUGAAUGAUGGAGAACUUGGAUUACUUGUGAAGUUAUUAUAAUAUAUUGUAACAUAUGACGUUUGUGAUGUGUUUGUGGUGCCUGGAUAUAUAUGUGGUGUUGAUGGUA